RNAcentral lists this long non-coding RNA (716 nucleotides) under Calidris pygmaea (Spoon-billed sandpiper). RNAcentral's name for it is "lncRNA (ENSCPGG00000018819.1)". Lineage: Eukaryota; Metazoa; Chordata; Aves; Charadriiformes; Scolopacidae. The record is from RNAcentral.
UGGGAAGUGCUGAGUAAAAAUAUCAGUCUGUAGGUGAGGAGGUGUCAAGGCAGAACGGGCCACAACUUUUCUCAUCUCCUGUCACAUUGCUAGGUGCUUUUUUUCCCCAACAUUCUCCAUUAAAAAAUAAAUAAAAGGCUUUAUGUGGCAAAUUUGAUCCAGAUAACUCUUGCAGAGUUCAGAUUGUCCAAAAUUUGAGGACGUUUCAAGUCCUGUUUGAACAGGACCUUUCCAGAACCUGUGAUCUUUCAGCCUCUUUGAGACCAGUUGCCUGAGAAGCCUGUGAGAUGCUUGCAGAAGAGACCUUUGCUGGAUGCACAUUUCUCAGCUCAAGACACCUUUCUUGUAAUACCAACAUUUGCAGAUAAUUGCCUGGGUGCAGAGAAGAGGCACGGUUCUUCUAGGGAACAAGAAGUCCGGUCUGUUGUAGAUGCUGAAAUUUGUGUCUCUCCACUGACUUGAAAAGGAGCUUAUGGCCACUCCCUUGGAAGAUACUAAUGUGUCUGUGGCCAUCUGCACCUUAUCAGGACAAGAAGGGGAUCAUGAAGGACCACCUCUUUCACAGUCAUACCUUAACAUCUGUUUAAAUCAGCUAUGAAACUGCUCAGGAAGCUGCAAAACUUCACAGUGUCAAUUUUUUACUGAGUUAGGCACCUCCAUCACAAAACUUUAAAGGGUUCACAUACUGAAAAAGAAACACCCUGCACUAACUUGUU